Microcebus murinus (gray mouse lemur) is the source of this 1317-nucleotide non-coding RNA. NCBI's taxonomy places the organism in Eukaryota, Metazoa, Chordata, Mammalia, Primates, Cheirogaleidae. The record is from RefSeq and is a predicted model, not a curated record.
AUGUUAGCAAUAAAAUAUAAUUCAUGUUCUAAAAAAUUAUCAUCAGUGUUAGCAAAGGCAUCACCUGUGGGGGUGGCGCCCUACAAGGGCGGGCCGCCGCGCAUGCGCCCCAAGAUCACGCAGGAGGCCGUCCCCUCGCGCACGUCGGCGGCCCCCACAGGCCCACUUAGGCGCUGCACGCCCUCUCAGCAAUGGUCACCGGCCCACUGCACACGACUUCCCCCUGGAGCUGCAGCUCCCCAGCAGGACUACCCCGACCCUGGGUCCCGAGGAACUGCUGAGCAGCGAGGACUGUCACCCUGCCCUGCCCUGCCGCUUCCCUCCGGGCUUCCAUGGGCACCCGGGCCCAACUACCCACCCUUCCUGCCCGACCAGAUGCAGCCGCAGGCCCCGCCGCUCUCUCACCAAGAGCUCCUGCCACUGGUCCCUGAGGGCUGGAGGAGCCAACGAGGGGAAGAAGAUCGUGGCCCGGAAAAGAACCACCACCCACACCUGUGAUUACCCGGGCUGCAGCAAAACCUACACACAGAGGCCUCCUCUUAAGGCACACCUGAGAACCCACACAGGUGUGAAACCCUACCACUGUGACUGGGACGGCUGUGGGUGGGAAUUUGCCCGCUCGGAUGGACUGACCAGGCGCUACUGCAAACACGCGGGGCACCCACAGACCCUCCAGUGCCAGAAGUGCGACCGAGCAUUUUCUAGGUCCAGACCACCUGGCCUUACCCAUGCAGAGGCACUUAUAAGUUUCAAACAGUGAGUAUGACCCACACUGCCAGAAGAGAAUGCAGUAUUUUUUUUUUACCUUUCACACUGUCUUCCUGAUGAGGGGAAGAGCCCAGCUGGAAGCACUACAAUCAUGGUCAAGUUCCCAAUUGAGUCCACUUGUGAAUGAAUAAUCAGGAACAAUGAUUAAUCCAAAAGUCAAAAAUCAAAGAACAGAUGGGGUAUGUGACUGGAUCUUCUAUCAUUCCAAUUCUAAAUCCAACUUGAAUAUUCCUAGACUUACAAAACGCCGAGGGGGUGACUGGAAGUUAUCGAUAUCAGGGUAUAAAUUAGAUACCUGAGUUGGGGGAGGGAAGACCAGAAUUCCCUUGAAUUGUGUUUUGAUGAAAUAUAAGCAUAAAGAUCACCUUGCAUUCUCUUUGCCUUCUAAAAGUCAUUAUUAUGAUGUUAGAAGAAAUUCAGGUACUGAAAAUGUGUUUUAAUAGCCUAAAUGAUGGUGCUUGGUGAGUCUUGGUUCUAAAAGUACCAAACGAGGAAGCCAAAGUUCUCAAACUGCUGCAUACUUUGACAAGGAAAAUCUAUUUCUGUCUU